CACCACUCCAGAGGAGCACCCAGGAGGGAGCCCGGCAGUGUUGUCCACCUUGCAGAUCAAACGGUGACUGAUAUCCAGGAGGACUUGCCCCACCACCUCCAGGACUGUAUCUGAGAGAGAAGAAUAUCACGUGUGCAUUUUCCCUGGUAAACCACACAGAAAACCAGAAGCAAGUAGAAGGCGCAGAGCCACACCUGGACCUCCAGUGAGCAGAUGAUGCAGACCAAGGGUGCACACUGAAUCCUCCCUGACCCUGGACUUCAGCCCUGGAACUGAGCAGGAAGAGUCUGUUGCAACCACCCAGUCUGUAGCAUCUUGUUAUAGCGGCCCCACCCUGCUGUCCACCCAGACCCUUCUCAAAUGCA
This is a non-coding RNA of Ictidomys tridecemlineatus (thirteen-lined ground squirrel), 365 nucleotides long. The record is from RefSeq and is a predicted model, not a curated record. NCBI's taxonomy places the organism in Eukaryota, Metazoa, Chordata, Mammalia, Rodentia, Sciuridae.